Molecule: ribosomal RNA, 447 nt
Filed under: uncultured bacterium
Lineage: Bacteria
Description: bacterial SSU rRNA
Rfam family: Bacterial small subunit ribosomal RNA
Source: RNAcentral
UCGGGAAUUUUGGGCAAUGGGCGAAAGCCUGACCCAGCAACGCCGCGUGAAGGAUGAAGUAUUUCGGUAUGUAAACUUCGAAAGAAUAGGAAGAAUAAAUGACGGUACUAUUUAUAAGGUCCGGCUAACUACGUGCCAGCAGCAGCGGUAAUACGUAGGGACCAAGCGUUGUUCGGAUUUACUGGGCGUAAAGGGCGCGUAGGCGGCAAUUCAAGUCAUCUGUGAAAUCUCCGGGCUUAACUCGGAACGGUCAGAUGAUACUGCUUUGCUAGAGUGCAGAAGGGGCAAUCGGAAUUCUUGGUGUAGUGGUGAAAUGCGUAGAUAUCAAGAGGAACACCUGAGGUGAAGACGGGUUGCUGGGCUGACACUGACGCUGAGGCGCGAAAGCCAGGGGAGCAAACGGGAUUAGAUACCCAAGUAGUCCCUGAGCGGGCUGGCAAGGCGCAU